GAUGAACGCUGGCGGCGUGCCUAAUACAUGCAAGUCGAGCGAACAGACGAGGAGCUUGCUCCUCUGACGUUAGCGGCGGACGGGUGAGUAACACGUGGAUAACCUACCUAUAAGACUGGGAUAACUUCGGGAAACCGGAGCUAAUACCGGAUAAUAUAUUGAACCGCAUGGUUCAAUAGUGAAAGACGGUUUUGCUGUCACUUAUAGAUGGAUCCGCGCCGCAUUAGCUAGUUGGUAAGGUAACGGCUUACCAAGGCAACGAUGCGUAGCCGACCUGAGAGGGUGAUCGGCCACACUGGAACGGAGACACGGUCCAGACUCCUACGGGAGGCAGCAGUAGGGAAUCUUCCGCAAUGGGCGAAAGCUUGACGGAGCAACGCCGCGUGAGUGAUGAAGGUCUUCGGAUCGUAAAACUCUGUUAUUAGGGAAGAACAAAUGUGUAAGUAACUAUGCACGUCUUGACGGUACCUAAUCAGAAAGCCACGGCUAACUACGUA
This 497-nucleotide ribosomal RNA is filed under the name uncultured bacterium. RNAcentral's name for it is "partial 16S ribosomal RNA". It matches the Rfam family "Bacterial small subunit ribosomal RNA", at positions 28 to 507 of the family's 1533-position model. The record is from RNAcentral.